CCUACGGGUGGCAGCAGUGGGGAAUAUUGCGCAAUGGGCGAAAGCCUGAUGCAGCGACGCCGCGUGAGGGAUGAAGGUCUUCGGAUCGUAAACCUCUGUCAGCAGGGAAGAACGGUCACUGUGCUAAUCAGCAGUGAAUUGACGGUACCUGCACAGGAAGCACCGGCUAACUCGGUGCCAGCAGCCGCGGUAAUACGGAGGGUGCGAGCGUUAAUCGGAAUUACGGGGCGUAAGGCGAUCGUAGGGGGUUUGUCAAGUCAAGGGUGAAAUCCCCGGGCUCAACGUGGGAACUGCCUUUGAAACGGGCAAACUAGAGUGUGGGAGAGGAUAGUGGAAUUCCAGGUGUAGGAGUGAAAUGCGUAGAUAUCUGGAGGAACAUCAGUGGCGAAGGCGAGUAUCUGGCACAUAACUGACGCUGAGGAGCGAAAGCGUGGGUAGCGAACAGGAUUAGAUACCCCAGUAGUC
This 465-nucleotide ribosomal RNA is filed under the name uncultured bacterium. Its description in RNAcentral is "partial 16S ribosomal RNA". It matches the Rfam family "Bacterial small subunit ribosomal RNA", at positions 338 to 795 of the family's 1533-position model. The record is from RNAcentral.